Molecule: ribosomal RNA, 345 nt
Filed under: uncultured Streptococcus sp.
Lineage: Bacteria; Bacillati; Bacillota; Bacilli; Lactobacillales; Streptococcaceae
Description: bacterial SSU rRNA
Rfam family: Bacterial small subunit ribosomal RNA
Source: RNAcentral
GGUGCAUGGUUGUCGUCAGCUCGUGUCGUGAGAUGUUGGGUUAAGUCCCCGGCAACGGAGCGCAACCCCUAUUGUUAGUUGCCAUCAUUCAGUUGGGCACUCUAGCGAGACUGCCGGUAAUAAACCGGAGGAAGGUGGGGAUGACGUCAAAUCAUCAUGCCCCUUAUGACCUGGGCUACACACGUGCUACAAUGGUUGGUACAACGAGUUGCGAGUCGGUGACGGCGAGCUAAUCUCUUAAAGCCAAUCUCAGUUCGGAUUGUAGGCUGCAACUCGCCUACAUGAAGUCGGAAUCGCUAGUAAUCGCGGAUCAGCACGCCGCGGUCGAAUACGUUCCCGGGCCUU